Molecule: ribosomal RNA, 275 nt
Filed under: uncultured prokaryote
Description: partial 16S ribosomal RNA
Rfam family: Bacterial small subunit ribosomal RNA
Source: RNAcentral
CACGGGGGUUGCGAGCGUUGUCCGGAAUUACUAGGCGUAAAGGGCAGGCAGGCGGAUCCAUAAGUUUAUCGUUUAAGGCGUCGGCUUAACCGGCAUAGGGCGGUAGAUACUGUGGAUCUGGAAUGCGGUUGGGGAAGACAGAAUUCCUGGUGUAGCGGUGGAAUGCGCAGAGAUCAGGAGGAAUACCGAAGGCGAAGGCAGUCUUCCAAGCCGUUAUUGACGCUCAACUGCGAAGGUGUGGGUAUCAAACAGGAUUAGAUACCCUGGUAGUCCCU